AAUGAACGCUAGCGGUAGGCUUAACACAUGCAAGUCGGACGGGCUUUGCUCAUCCUUUUCGGAGGAAGGGUAAGGCUAGUGGCAGACGGGUGCGUAAUAUUUGGGGAUCUACCUAGGAGUUCGGGAUAACUGUUAGAAAUAGCAGCUAAUACCGAAUAAUACCCUGGAGGGGGAAAGGUUUCUUUGUGAUUUUGAUCGCAGAUCUCAUUUGAGAUUUUCGGUCAGUAUCACAAAUUCAGCUCUUAGAUGAGCCCAAACUAGAUUAGCUUGUUGGUGGGGUAAGUGCCUACCAAGGCUAUGAUCUAUAGCUGACCUGAGAGGGUGGUCAGCCACACUGGAACUGAGAUACGGUCCAG
RNAcentral lists this ribosomal RNA (356 nucleotides) under uncultured bacterium. Its description in RNAcentral is "bacterial SSU rRNA". It matches the Rfam family "Bacterial small subunit ribosomal RNA", at positions 29 to 334 of the family's 1533-position model. The record is from RNAcentral.